Molecule: ribosomal RNA, 457 nt
Filed under: uncultured Oxalobacteraceae bacterium
Lineage: Bacteria; Pseudomonadati; Pseudomonadota; Betaproteobacteria; Burkholderiales; Oxalobacteraceae
Description: bacterial SSU rRNA
Rfam family: Bacterial small subunit ribosomal RNA
Source: RNAcentral
CGGGGCGCAGCAGUGGGGAAUUUUGGACAAUGGGGGCAACCCUGAUCCAGCAAUGCCGCGUGAGUGAAGAAGGCCUUCGGGUUGUAAAGCUCUUUUGUCAGGGAAGAAACGGUGAGUUCUAAUACAACUUGCUAAUGACGGUACCUGAAGAAUAAGCACCGGCUAACUACGUGCCAGCAGCCGCGGUAAUACGUAGGGUGCAAGCGUUAAUCGGAAUUACUGGGCGUAAAGCGUGCGCAGGCGGUUAUAUAAGACAGAGGUGAAAUCCCCGGGCUCAACCUGGGAACUGCCUUUGUGACUGUAUGGCUAGAGUGUGUCAGAGGGGGGUAGAAUUCCACGUGUAGCAGUGAAAUGCGUAGAUAUGUGGAGGAAUACCGAUGGCGAAGGCAGCCCCCUGGGAUAACACUGACGCUCAUGCACGAAAGCGUGGGGAGCAAACAGGAUUAGAUACCCGAGU